RNAcentral lists this unclassified non-coding RNA (4716 nucleotides) under Hevea brasiliensis (rubber tree). The record is from RNAcentral. Lineage: Eukaryota; Viridiplantae; Streptophyta; Magnoliopsida; Malpighiales; Euphorbiaceae.
UAAAAAUAAAUUAAAUUAAACUUCCUCGAUACAGAAGGAAAAUUGAACCUUAUGCCUAGUUAUUCCAUGUGAAGUCCUCCGAAUGAGGGGAACAUUGCCCGAAUUAAGGGCCCACCGCCUUAAAGGAAGAGACAUUUAUGAACUUCAUUUUUGUAUUUGUAUCGCUUGGGAUCAGUUUCAUAGCCUUAAAUCUUCACGAUUGGUCAAAAAGGCCCAACCUCUGGUCUCUGUCAUUUUGCCCUUCCGAGCCAUUCAUGCUAACGCUCCCAAGCCAUUCCCACCGUUAGUGGAACAUAAGAUUAGAAAAUGUGAACUGCUACUGAGUGAGUGACAUUCAGAGGAAGCUGCACUGCAAUAAAAAAACAUUGCUUUCAAAAUCAAACUCACAGGAACCAGAUAUUAGCAACAGUCAAACAUGCAAAUAAGAAUUCACUGAGAUGAGGAUGCACUUCAUCUGAGACACACUAGCUUCCUCCCACAAAAGAUAUUUCUGCAAUUUAAAAGCAAGACAUGAAAAGAUCAGAUAAUGAUUUUUAUGGGAUAUUUCAAUUGAUGCGUGAGUGUGAAGAUAUUGCAAGUAUUAGUAUGAAAAAGCUAACAAGAAAAUGGCCAAAAUGAAGGAAUGCAAGGAAUCUAAACAAAACAACAAACAGAUUUUAUACAGAUCCAACCACAACCUAAGUUACAGAUAAGAAACGGAUGAUCUCCUCUACAGACACUAUUUCUAAAUUCUGGCAGUCCUACACGAACCAUGUCCGAGCAAGGGAACAAUAUUUUGCCACUUGAACGUGACAGUAAGGACGUUAUACUUUCCUAUUUCUCAUCUUCUAUCAGACUGUAAAUGAAAGCAUCAUAAGACUAGUCUAAUCAGACAACAAUCACCAAGAAUGCAAAGUUCAAACCCCCAGGCCCAAGCAUCCUAUCAAGCUACAUACCAAAAAUAACACAGUAAAAAAUGUUAGUUGUGCUAUCUUAGAGAUACACUCAGAAAUUUGCAGGAUGCAGAGGAAACCUCAUGAAUGCAAUUUGGCUAUUCUCACCAUCUGAACAUAUAAUUUGUCUAAAUAAUCGCUAAUCAUAUCCUGGGCUACAGCCCUAUUGCAGUACAUCUUCUAAAUAAAAAUACUUUGAAUUUAUAUGUAAUUUGGGCUAUUUCCUCCCAUAUCAUGGUUAAAUGUUUUCUUACAUGCAACAGAAAAAAUAUUUAUUUUUUUUAUUUAGACUAAUAUCUAUGCUGUAUCAUGUACUUUUACAAGAACUGCCAUAUAUCCAUAUUUUAUCAUGCCUAUAUCCCAUUUCCAUAUCCAUGCUUCCUAGAUUAUCACAGAAGCUAUCAUUCUUUGAUCAUAUAAUCAUAUAGCCAUAUAAAUAUAUGCAUAUAUGCCCAUGUCACUCACAUGCCAUCUCGAUGAACUAAUUCCAACCCCUUUAUAGCAUGACAAACCAAUGAAAUCUCCUUGAGACCUCUGCAUAUCCAUUGUUUUGAAAAUACUCUUACAUCUAAUCAUAUUGUUUCAUGUCCUGGUAAUUAAGCUGGUUAAUUCCACCUUCUAAAGGGAGGUGCUGCAGCGCAUUCACUCCUCUUAACAAAAGGUUAGGCCUCUCACAUAUGGCUGGCAUGUUUAAAGACAACUGCUUCACUAUUUCAACUAAAUGGUGACCAUGCCUUUCUUUUAAUCUUUGGCCAAACUGAUUCCUACCAAGCCCUAAGCUACACAAGACUCAGCUCAACUGAGACUCAAUCCAAUAUAAACAAGCUUUAUGGAUCCUUUUUUCCAGUUUGCUUAGUUUACAUUUUCAUUUGAAUACGCCUAAACUACACAUUAGUAAAAAAUUUCAAAUUUUCAACUUAGCUGUAAUUGCAGAAUUGCCAGGGAUCAUAAAAGGGAAAUAUUUAAGAAAGACAAAAGGAAAAUAUUUCCCCUUUACUAAGAAAAUAGGAUAAUUACCAGAGAAGUGAAAUAGACAAUUACUUAACGUAAGGAAAAUAUUUAAGAGAAAACACUUGCAAAAGUGAAAAGCAUGAUAAUUAGACCAUUUCAAGUGCAGGAGGAUAUAAUGCCUGAGGUCUUCACAUAUUAGGCACUCAAAAUAAACAAAUAACUCUUAGAAGUGAAAGGAACAAUGUUACUGACAAUAGGCAUCCUCGAUUUGGCUUUUUCUUCUUCUCUUUUUGUUUCUGUGCUGGUUUAAUAACUACCUUGAUCGCCGAAUCAAAAACAGCUUUCACAUUCUGUUGAGUUUUUGAGCUGCAUUCAAUAUAAUAUGCUGCACCAAUCUGUUUGCGCAGUUCUUCUCCCUGUGAAGUGGUCACAGGUACCAAUCCCGGAUGAUCAGCCAAAUAGUGCUUAUCCUCACGAAGAUCUACAUGUCCAUUUUUGAACCGUGCAUUAGUUUCAAAAAUCUAAAAUGCUUCACAUUGCUGUGCGUAUGAAAACUAUCUAUCUACUUCUGCUAAACCACCUUUGCUUUUCAUCACUAGCAACUAGCAAGCAUGGCAGUGACUAGGCAACCUUACCAUCCAAUUUUUUUUAAAAAAACCAAAACGAAAAAGGGGUGUCUUCACAUUGACAAUUUUCACUGUCAUGCCAUCAGCCUUCUCACUCUUGCAUGACAUUGAACUCGGCAUACUUUGACCACAAUCAAUCACAUUUACCUUCUAAAUGGCUACCAUUCUUUGCCAUAAGAUUGAUUAGCUUUGUAAGAAACUUUAUUCUGGUGGCUACCCUAUGAAUAAACAAAAAAUUGAAAGGAAUUUUCAACCUUGUUAUAUCUGCUUCAUUUAUGAACAAUGAAACUUUGAUGCUGAAGCAAGUAUCUAUAAUAUCAAUACCAACAAUAGCCUUUGAUAUAUCUUGCUAUUAAUUUUCAGUUUUUUCCUAAAUUUAUCUCUCAUUUGCUAAACUUUGACAAUUUAAACCUGGCAAAUGAGACAUUGCCUUGCACUGCAUAGGCCCAAUUGAUUAGAAACUAGAAAAAGAGUAGAGCAUCUGCACAAAUUUGUGAUAGAAAAAUAAUUUGUCCACUGAAUUUAAAGUUGAAAGUUCUUUUUUUUUCCCUGAAGGACAAAAAAAACACCUUCCAGAAUCAUAUGUUUGCGGCAAAACCACAAAAUAAUAACAGAAAAGCUAAAUAAACAAAAAAUACUAUAAACAAAACUCUAAUAGCUCUUUCUUUCUUUAAGCAAUCCGAAUGCAACAAUGGCUUCAUUGAUAUUACGGAACCUCUCCUCUUUCCAAACUCAUAGGAGGGGCACAUUAUAGGCUUAUAUCUUAUAUAAAACAGGAUAGUUAUAACCUUUCGAUUUUUUGCUAUUAUUGCCUUGGUAAGCAAAGAAAAGCGAACUGACAAGUUGGCUAUAAAUGUACUAUGUAACUCUAUUACUCUGACUUAUGAGUUGUCCAAAAGCUAGAACCUAGUUGUCAUGACUUUUCCUAUAGGAUUUCAUUACAUGCAUUAGACAUCUUCAUGUGCCAAUUUCCUAGAGAAACAGAGUUCAGAAAGCAUGUUUAUAGUUGAUAUCAAACUCAUGCAGUUACUAAAGGAGGUUGGACUAAAGAGUAGAUUUUUGGUUUGAAAUAUGAAUGAGUCACUGUCUUAACAUACUUUUAUUGAGAGCAAAUGAUCCUGAAAGAACUUGUAGUUAUUUCACCUGGUCAUGACAGUAUGGGACAGGGAAGAUAAACCUUUCCCUUAUUAAUCAGUAAGGUAUUAACUGGGAAAAAGAAAUUAACAGGUGUAACCUAGAUUACCAUACUGAACAAAAUCACAUAAAAUACAAGCAAAUAACCAAGAAAAAAAAUUAUAAACAGCACUGAUUGAGAAAAAACAAUGAUGAAUGCUAGUAGACUUACCCAAUUUGGUGCCAACCAGUACCACUGGGACUCCUGGAGCAUAAUGCUGAAGCUCAGGAACCCACUUUUUAAGUAUAUUCUCAUAGCUUGCCCGACUAACCAGGGAGAAAGCUAACACGAAAACAUCAGCCCCUCUGUAACUCAAGGGCCUUAAUCUAUUAUAAUCUUCUUGUCCAGCUGUAUCCCAGAGGCCUAAGUUGACCGUGGUUCCUUCAACUACUACGUUUGCACUGAAGUUAUCAAACACAGUGGGUAUAUAAUCAGUAGGAAACUUGUUACUUGUGUAGCAAAUAAGCAUGCAGGUCUUGCCAACAGCUCCAUCUCCCACAGUCACACACUUGAUGAACCUCGAAGCAGUUGAAGCCAUUGAUGAAAAACAAAACAGAGGAAGAAGCUCUUCCAAUCGAAAAGAGAAAAAAAUAUCAGUAGAAGAGCAGUACCCAAAACAAAAACAAAAGGAUUGGUUUCUUGGUAUACAAAUUUAUUAUGUGUCUUUUGGAUGAUUGAUAAGGAGGUGGUGGAUCACAUGAUUCUCACUCAUUCACUUAUACUGUAUCCAAAUUUCUCUCUUUUGCUUUUUGGGGUUCUCUCAAUUUCGUUGUUCUGAUUGGGAAUUUUGGUCGGUUCCUUUUGCUCUUUUCUAAUUUCAUGUAUAUGAUUCUUCUUUAAAGUAGACAGCUUUGUGUAUUUAUCGGUAUUUAGCCCCAGAAUUGAAAGACUUGUUCUGUCCUCAUCAAUCUGUGCACCAGUUUUGUUCUCUUCCACCGCCUUUCGCUCUCUGUCGCGUCUCCUUCGCUAAUGAAAAUGAUUUAUUUAAUAGUUUAUGGUAUAUUCUGUAACAGCAGUAAAAUUAGCAUAUGAC